RNAcentral lists this ribosomal RNA (438 nucleotides) under uncultured low G+C Gram-positive bacterium. RNAcentral describes it as "bacterial SSU rRNA". It matches the Rfam family "Bacterial small subunit ribosomal RNA", at positions 1075 to 1514 of the family's 1533-position model. The record is from RNAcentral. Lineage: Bacteria; Bacillati; Bacillota.
UUGGGUUAAGUCCCGCAACGAGCGCAACCCUUGAUCUUAGUUGCCAGCAUUCAGUUGGGCACUCUAAGGUGACUGCCGGUGACAAACCGGAGGAAGGUGGGGAUGACGUCAAAUCAUCAUGCCCCUUAUGACCUGGGCUACACACGUGCUACAAUGGACGGUACAAAGGGCUGCAAACCCGUGAGGGGGAGCCAAUCCCAGAAAACCGUUCUCAGUUCGGAUUGCAGGCUGCAACUCGCCUGCAUGAAGCCGGAAUCGCUAGUAAUCGUGGAUCAGCAUGCCACGGUGAAUACGUUCCCGGGCCUUGUACACACCGCCCGUCACACCACGAGAGUUUGUAACACCCGAAGUCGGUGAGGUAACCCUUGUGGAGCCAGCCGCCGAAGGUGGGACAGAUGAUUGGGGUGAAGUCGUAACAAGGUAACCAAGCCGAAUUCU